Long non-coding RNA from Mesocricetus auratus (golden hamster), 316 nucleotides. RefSeq lists it as uncharacterized. The transcript is spliced from 2 exons. The record is from RefSeq and is a predicted model, not a curated record. Lineage: Eukaryota; Metazoa; Chordata; Mammalia; Rodentia; Cricetidae.
UUUUAACCAAUCACAGCUAUCGGCUCACGGCCACUGUCCAGCCUGCGCAGCCCCUAGAAGCCAACCACAAAGUCAGCUUUCUAUUCACAACAGGGGACCUGACUGCACAGGAUUCAGUCUGGCAAGAGACCAGACAAGCAGCCUGGAGGAAGCAGAAACCAGCCAAGUUUCCUGGAAGACGUUUAGACUGAUUGAGGCACCUGGAAAGGACACUCUCCAGCCUGUUGAGCAGCUUGCAGGCUCCAGGUUCCCAGGAUUUGUGAGCCAUCACCCAAUCUCCUGUAAGUUAUCUCAGUAAACCUCAUUGGUUCACCAA